Molecule: long non-coding RNA, 136 nt
Organism: Melanotaenia boesemani (Boeseman's rainbowfish)
Lineage: Eukaryota; Metazoa; Chordata; Actinopteri; Atheriniformes; Melanotaeniidae
Exons: 3
Source: RefSeq, a predicted model, not a curated record
CUGGAAUUGACACUGGUGCUUUAAGCAAAGAGUUUUUGACUGAAAUGAUGCAUGGUACCGAGAGACGACUGUUUGAGGGCUGUGCCAAAAAGGGAAAAUGUCCAGUCGACUCCAUUAGUGACCUAGAGAAUUGUUU